GAUGAACGCUGGCGGCGUGCCUAAUACAUGCAAGUCGAGCGAACGGACGAGAAGCUUGCUUCUCUGAUGUUAGCGGCGGACGGGUGAGUAACACGUGGAUAACCUACCUAUAAGACUGGGAUAACUUCGGGAAACCGGAGCUAAUACCGGAUGAUAUUUUGAACCGCAUGGUUCAAAAGUGAAAGACGUUCUUGCUGUCACUUAUAGAUGGAUCCGCGCUGCAUUAGCUAGUUGGUAAGGUAACGGCUUACCAAGGCAACGAUGCAUAGCCGACCUGAGAGGGUGAUCGGCCACACUGGAACUGAGACACGGUCCAGACUCCUACGGGAGGCAGCAGUAGGGAAUCUUCCGCAAAGGGCGAAAGCCUGACGGAGCAACGCCGCGUGAGUGAUGAAGGUCUUCGGAUCGUAAAACUCUGUUAUUAGGGAAGAACAUAUGUGUAAGUAACUGUGCACAUCUUGACGGUACCUAAUCAGAAAGCCACGGCUAACUACGUG
Molecule: ribosomal RNA, 497 nt
Filed under: uncultured bacterium
Lineage: Bacteria
Description: partial 16S ribosomal RNA
Rfam family: Bacterial small subunit ribosomal RNA
Source: RNAcentral